CGUAGGUGGCAAGCGUUGUCCGGAUUUAUUGGGUUUAAAGGGUGCGUAGGCGGCCCUGUAAGCCAGUGCUGAAAUAUCCCGGCUUAACCGGGAGGGUGGCAUUGAUACUGCAGGGCUUGAGUACAGAUGAAGUAGGCGGAAUUGACGGUGUAGCGGUGAAAUGCAUAGAUAUCGUCAAGAACACCGAUAGCGAAGGCAGCUUACUAAGCUGUAACUGACGCUGAGGCACGAAAGUGUGGGGAUCAAACAGGAUUAGAUACCCUGGUAGUCCACACUGUUAACGUUGAUGACUCGAUGUUGGCGAUACACAGCCAGCGUCCAAGAGCAAUCGUUAAGUCAUCCACCUGGGGAGUACGCCGGCAACGGUG
Molecule: ribosomal RNA, 368 nt
Filed under: uncultured organism
Description: bacterial SSU rRNA
Rfam family: Bacterial small subunit ribosomal RNA
Source: RNAcentral